This 495-nucleotide ribosomal RNA is filed under the name uncultured marine eukaryote. Its description in RNAcentral is "bacterial SSU rRNA". It matches the Rfam family "Eukaryotic small subunit ribosomal RNA", at positions 720 to 1065 of the family's 1831-position model. The record is from RNAcentral.
AUUCAUUUGGUUGGUAUAAGGAUCUUGAUCGUUUACUUUGAAAAAAUUAGAGUGUUUAAGGCAGGCAUGAUUGUCGUUGAAUAGUUCAGCAUGGAAUAAUAAGAUAGGGCUUCGGCACCACCGGGGUGUUUAUGCAUUGCAAAGUCGACCGUUCGUCGUGUGUUGUGUGAGGGUAUGGUUUGCCUUCCUUUGUGGAGGUUAAAUUUGCUCUUCACUCACGCGCAACAAUAGAUGGAGUAGCAUUGAACGCCUCGCGCGGGUCUCUCUAUUUUGUUGGUUUCUAGAGCCGAAGUAAUGAUUGAUAGGGAUAGUUGGGGGUGCUAGUAUUGCUAGGCCAGAGGUGAAAUUCUUGGAUUCUAGCAGGACUAACUUAUGCGAAAGCAUUCACCAAGGAUAUUCUCUUUAAUCAAGAACGAAAGUUGGAGGAUCGAAGACGAUCAGAUACCGUCGUAGUCCCAACCAUAAACGACGCCAUCUAGGGAUCAGGGAAUGUUG